UUAUGGCCAUAUCACGUCGAAACACCGAUUCACUUACAAUCACCGAAGUUAAGCAACGUCGAGCCUAGUUAGUACCUAAAGAGGUGACUUUUUGGGAAUACCAGU
This is a non-coding RNA of Acanthosepion pharaonis, 105 nucleotides long. Lineage: Eukaryota; Metazoa; Mollusca; Cephalopoda; Sepiida; Sepiidae. The record is from the annotation of a GenBank genome assembly.